GCUGGGUGUGGUGGUGUGCACCUGUAAUCCCAGCAGCUCAGGAGGCUGAGACAGGAUCACAAGUCGAGGCUGGCCUUAGCAACUUAGUGAGACCUUGUCUUAA
This 103-nucleotide small RNA is filed under the name Marmota monax (woodchuck). Lineage: Eukaryota; Metazoa; Chordata; Mammalia; Rodentia; Sciuridae. The record is from RNAcentral.